RNAcentral lists this ribosomal RNA (253 nucleotides) under uncultured bacterium. Its description in RNAcentral is "partial 16S ribosomal RNA". It matches the Rfam family "Bacterial small subunit ribosomal RNA", at positions 99 to 353 of the family's 1533-position model. The record is from RNAcentral.
CGGACGGGUGAGUAAUGUAUGGGGAUCUGCCCGAUAGAGGGGGAUAACUACUGGAAACGGUGGCUAAUACCGCAUAAUGUCUACGGACCAAAGCAGGGGCUCUUCGGACCUUGCACUAUCGGAUGAACCCAUAUGGGAUUAGCUAGUAGGUGGGGUAAAGGCUCACCUAGGCGACGAUCCCUAGCUGGUCUGAGAGGAUGACCAGCCACACUGGAACUGAGACACGGUCCAGACUCCUACGGGAGGCAGCAUG